This 506-nucleotide ribosomal RNA is filed under the name uncultured bacterium. RNAcentral's name for it is "partial 16S ribosomal RNA". It matches the Rfam family "Bacterial small subunit ribosomal RNA", at positions 29 to 523 of the family's 1533-position model. The record is from RNAcentral.
AGUGAACGCUGGCGGCAGGCCUAACACAUGCAAGUCGAACGGCAGCACAGAGGAGCUUGCUCCUUGGGUGGCGAGUGGCGGACGGGUGAGGAAUACAUCGGAAUCUGCCUAUUUGUGGGGGAUAACGUAGGGAAACUUACGCUAAUACCGCAUACGACCUACGGGUGAAAGCGGAGGACCUUCGGGCUUCGCGCAGAUAGAUGAGCCGAUGUCGGAUUAGCUAGUUGGCGGGGUAAAGGCCCACCAAGGCGACGAUCCGUAGCUGGUCUGAGAGGAUGAUCAGCCACACUGGAACUGAGACACGGUCCAGACUCCUACGGAAGGCAGCAGUGGGGAAUAUUGGACAAUGGGCGCAAGCCUGAUCCAGCCAUGCCGCGUGGGUGAAGAAGGCCUUCGGGUUGUAAAGCCCUUUUGUUGGGAAAGAAAAGCAGCCGGUUAAUACCCGGUUGUUCUGACGGUACCCAAAGAAUAAGCACCGGCUAACUUCGUGCCAGCCGCCGCAGUAA